Molecule: ribosomal RNA, 253 nt
Filed under: uncultured bacterium
Lineage: Bacteria
Description: partial 16S ribosomal RNA
Rfam family: Bacterial small subunit ribosomal RNA
Source: RNAcentral
UACAGAGGUCUCAAGCGUUGUUCGGAUUCAUUGGGCGUAAAGGGUGCGUAGGCGGCGCGGUAAGUCGGGUGUGAAAUCUUGGAGCUUAACUCCGAAACUGCAUUCGAUACUGCCGUGCUUGAGGACUGGAGAGGAGACUGGAAUUUACGGUGUAGCGGUGAAAUGCGUAGAUAUCGUAAGGAAGACCAGUGGCGAAGGCGGGUCUCUGGGCCGAUACUGACGCUGAGGAACGAAAGCGUGGGGAGCGAACAGG